Long non-coding RNA from Athene cunicularia (burrowing owl), 1171 nucleotides. RefSeq lists it as uncharacterized. The record is from RefSeq and is a predicted model, not a curated record. NCBI's taxonomy places the organism in Eukaryota, Metazoa, Chordata, Aves, Strigiformes, Strigidae. The transcript has 3 exons.
GGAGCGUACGAGUGAUGCGGUCGCAGCCGUCACUUGGAGUCGAAGGUGGAAGGCGCCUGAAAGAGAACACAAGUUGGACGUGUCGAUGGCAGGGGUGGGUCUGACACUCAUUAGCAGAGACUCUGAAAAUGCCGGAGCUGAAAAGUACCUGCAAGCAGUGGAGCUAAAGACCAGUCAUGAAGAUGCUUCCACGUCUGAGUAGCUACACACUGGAGUAGUUCUCCGGAGUGCACUGUGCUCAUGGGUGAAAAGCAAUGUCAUUUCGAUUUGUUGCUGAUUCUGUGUGAAGAUACUGUUUCCAUCAGCAUGUCUUAAUAUACUAAACUUGUCCCCUAAGCCCAUCCUCUGAAGCUUGGUGCUACGGUAGGUAAACAAAAGUGACUUUACAUUGGCGGGACUACAAGCCCAGACAUAGCUAAAAGAAAAAGAGAAGAAAAAAAAAAAUCAGCCGUUAUUAGCAUGCUUGUGUAAGGCACAUCUGGUUCAAAGCGCCCGCGAUGCUCAGCACCGGCCGGGAGCAGGAUGGGCUCCCCGGCUCCUCCACACCACGGCACGGCAGCCUCUGAGCGAGGGGCCACGGGUACGCGCUUCUCCCAGCAAAACGCCCCGACGGAGGCUCCGAGAGGGGGGUUCUGUGGGCUGAGCGCCCCGAUUCCCACACGAGCAGCCCCUCUCCCAGCACGGGGCUGCGAGCGAGGCCACGGCCAGGCUCGGGACAGCCGAGGACCAACACGGCCAUGCCCGGGCGUGUCGGACACCCCUCAGGGAUGUCCCCGCGGUGGGAACCCACCGACCACCGCUUUGUGCCCAGGCCUGGCACCCGGGCAGAAAACCUCCAUUUCCACAAUUGCGCUUUAUAACCGCGGGGCUGAGCGAGCCAAGGACUCUCUAAGACUGAAGCCAAGUACUCUACACCUGCUCCUAACUCUGGAGGCCAAGCACCAUAAAAAGGCACGAGAUUAACACCCCUGAUCCGCCACCUUUUUUUUUUUUUUAAAAAAAAAAAAACAGAUAAAGACUGAGAUGCCAACAACUACUGCUUUUUUCCUAGUUAACUCUUUGGUAGAAACAUAAUUUAGACAGUCUUUAAUUUUAGUGUUGUUUAAUUUUUGCCAUAAUGAUAUUUCUCAUUAAUUUAUGUACAACAGAUAUUAAUAAAUUUGUUCGUGUA